Molecule: ribosomal RNA, 513 nt
Filed under: uncultured bacterium
Lineage: Bacteria
Description: bacterial SSU rRNA
Rfam family: Bacterial small subunit ribosomal RNA
Source: RNAcentral
GAUCAUGGCUCAGAACGAACGCUGGCGGCGCGUUUAAGCAUGCAAGUCGAGCGGCAAGGGCCUUCGGGCCCCUAGAGCGGCGGACGGGUGAGUAACACGUGGACAAUCUGCCCCCCGGCCCGGGAUAGCCCAGGGAAACCUGGAUUAAUACCGGAUGAGACGGGACCCGCGAAGGCGGGACCCGGGAAAGGCGCUGCGGCGCCGCCGGGGGAUGAGUCUGCGUCCCAUUAGCUAGACGGCGGGGUAACGGCCCACCGUGGCGACGAUGGGUAGCCGGCCUGAGAGGGUGGACGGCCACAUUGGAACUGAGACACGGUCCAGACUCCUACGGGAGGCAGCAGCUAAGAAUCUUCCGCAAUGGGCGAAAGCCUGACGGAAGCGACGCCGCGUGAACGAAGAAGGCCGUGAGGUUGUAAAAUUCUUUUCGGGAGGGGGAACAACCGUGGCAGGGAAUGGCCGCGGGAUGACGUGAAUCCCGGAAUAAGCCCCGGCUAACUACGUGCCAGCCGCCGC